AUGCACUGCGCAUCAUUUGUGAUAGCCGGCUCCGUAGCACGCAUUAGCAGCAGGGCGAUGAACAGGGUGCCGCCAGCUCGUGAGGCGGCAGGGCCCAGGCGGUACAGUACUGCCGCCACGCCCCUUGACGGCCGGGCUCCACACGCCGCUGCCGUUCCGUCUCCAGCGCAGAUUCCCGUUUUGCCAGGCGGUACAGUGCUGCCGCCUCGCUGCGUGGUGGCAGGUGUCACGUGGUCCUUUUCGACAAAAAUUCCUCCUCUCACCACAGACGCUCCUCUUCCUCGAUCUGCCGCCAUUCUUCAGGUGGCCUUCCCCCUUUCUCCUCCUCUAUGCCGCCGUUGCCCGUCCUCCUUCUCCCGCAUCUCCUCCCCGUUGUCAGGCGCGCUGUGCCGCCAUCCUUCCUCCUCCCCAUCGAGGCCAGGCAGAGGAGGAGGAGCGCGGUGCGCGGACAUGACGAGGAAGCAGCCGGCGUCAGCGCGCGCCGCCCGGCCAAGGUCUUUUCCUGCAUGCGCGACCUCCUCGCCAAGCCCUUCCCAUACGCGCGGGUCCUCGCUGCCUGGCUCUACCUCCACUGCGACCUCGUCCAGGACGCCCGCAGCGCCGCCGCCGUCCGCGCCGCCGACGGCCAGAUCCAACACCGUCGAGGAGACCGUCGCCAUGGUGCUCCACUAUGCCUCGGGGAUCGAUCAACCCCAUGAUGUCGCCGCCGUCUCCUUCGUCCAGCCGGCAUGCCGCCGCCGUCGUCUUCGCGUGCACAUGAUAGGAGGUGUGCGACCCUCCUCUCUCGCGCACUGCGGCCGCUUCGCCCCGCCAUCGUUCCUCGGGUGUGGUCGCGCCUGUCUUCUUACCGCGUCGUCGCUCCUCCUCCAGGCCGCCGGCGGCACCCGUCCUCCUCCCUCAUCCUCUCCAGGUGGCUGGGACGCUUUACGAUGCGAGGCUCACUCGGAUGUGAAGGUGCCCCUGCAUUGGAGCCCAAGGAUGCACUGUAUGCGUGAGGUUGUUAUCGCACUGAGGAUGCUAUGGGAAAACAGGGACAUAUUUGAUCUUGUUAUCAGUGAUGUGCACAUGCCAGACAUGGAUGGCUUUAAGCUUCUUGAGCUUGAAAUGGACCUCCCUAUCAUCAUAUCAAUUCGGUACACCGAAUCCUAUGAUUUGUACCUCUAA
This 1164-nucleotide ribosomal RNA is filed under the name Triticum aestivum (bread wheat). RNAcentral describes it as "partial small subunit ribosomal RNA". Lineage: Eukaryota; Viridiplantae; Streptophyta; Magnoliopsida; Poales; Poaceae. The record is from RNAcentral.